Balaenoptera musculus (blue whale) is the source of this 2074-nucleotide long non-coding RNA. RefSeq lists it as uncharacterized. The transcript has 4 exons. NCBI's taxonomy places the organism in Eukaryota, Metazoa, Chordata, Mammalia, Artiodactyla, Balaenopteridae. The record is from RefSeq and is a predicted model, not a curated record.
UCUGCCUGAUACCUUACCAUUUAGAAUUCAGCUUCAAUGUCACCUAAUUAAACAGCCUCCCUUGAACACGCAAGCCUCCCCUGAACACCCUUGAACACCAAGCUUACCCAAGCUAAGGUAGUUGCUGCCAUUCUCAUCACUUUACCCUAGUUUACUUCUCCUCAUAGUCUAUAUAUUUACUGGAAAUGUUUUACUUAUUUGAUUCCUUCUUGCUUUAACUCCCCUUGUCUAGAACAUGAGUUCUAUGAGAGCAGGGACCUUAUCUGCUUGCAUCCAACUGGUCUCCAAGUACCUGGAAGAGGUCUCAGCCAUUGAAAGCAAACAAUAAGCCCUCACUUCAGUGAAGAACUCCCCCAAUUCCAGUUCUGAUGAUUUCUGUGAAGAACAAACUGUUAUCAAGCAUGCUUUCCCACCCCCAUUCUCCUGGCUCAACAUACAUCAGGGGAAUGAGCUAACUCCUUUUGUACUUCAAGGCCUGGUAUCCAUCAAUUACUGGUGCCAUCAAAACCAUAGCAAGCAGGAAAAAAGAAUACACCUGUUUGUAUCCAAGCCUGUGCUUUUCAGAAGUCUAGAUGGCUCUAUCCUUAAGUGAUUGGAAAAUCGUUCCAGCUCUGACACCUCUCCACUCACCGCCCACCAGCUAUUCUCAACUCUUCUAUCAGUUAUUGCCUCUACCAUGAAGUUGAUAACAAUGGACUCACAUUUACAAGUUUAUUUUACACACGUUUCCCUUUUGUAUAUAUACUUUUAUUGUUUUCAUUUUAAGAAAAAAGAUUAAGAGCUAGGUUUUCCUACUUCUUUUUAUUGCCCAUGGUGUCUAGCACAAAGCUACACACAAACUAGGGACACUAUAAACAUUGAUGGAAAAGACAAUAUAUAGGAAGGAGAGAGAGGGACAAAAUAUAGAAACAGGGAAGGAAAAAAGGGAGGAAGGGAGGAAGGAAGUUCAAAAUAUAUUCCUGCAACACCAAGACUAAAGGGAAACCAGCAAGUCCCUUAUAACAAUGACUUGUCUUCAUUCAGUGCAAACAGAUGCAUUCCUAACCGUGGUUAUUCUCUGUGCUACUGUGAGCAACGUGCAUUUCUAGACCGAAGAGUCCAGGCAGGCUGGACUGUAUCAGGGUUCAUCUUAUAUUAGCUACUUAAGACAAGCAAUGUGCCUUUCUAUUUGGAAAAUCUUAGAAGCCCCCCAACUGAAUAAAGGAUGAAAGGCAAUUUGUUUAAAAAUAAGGAGUGCUUUCACCAGGGACUGCUUUCUCCAAGAGAACUAAGUUUCUUCACAAACAACUACAACACAGAGGUUCUUUUCUAAACCAAAAGCCUUACUGCUGCCUGAGUCUGUGCCUUCUCUUGACUAGUGUAAGAAAAAUAAGGAUUUUCCAUUUUUUUAUAAGUUUGAUUUGCAAAUAGGAUGAGUGUUUAUCAGAUGAAAAGUGUUGCUUCCCUGUUGAUAUCAAGUUAAGCAUCUCCAAUGAAAAAAAAAUAGCAUCUUUUCUCAAAUGUUGAUGCUUUGUGUUUAUAACAGGGUUCUAUAUCAGAUUGAAAAAACACAAAAUUUUGUAAUUUAUGUCUAUUUCUUUAUACUACAUGAAAAGUGGAGAUUUAAGUAAAAUCACUUAAAUAUGAUCAUCUAUUUUUCUCUUUACCCUUCAACCAUUAAUGAAAUUGUUUCUUCAUGUAACUCUGAUUUUAUUAAUUCAUUUGUAUGCAUACGAAUUGCAUUUAUUAUUUAAUGAGUAGUUACUAUAUGAAACUAACAGUAUGUAAGAGCUGGGAAAAUAAAUAAAAAGACAAAAUUCAACACUCCUUCAUGAUUAAAACACCAAACAAAUAGGAAUUGAAGGGCACUUACUCAGCCUGAUAAAGGCCAUCUACAAAAAGCUCAUAACUAACAGCACAUGCAAGGGUGAAAGAAUAGAGUUUUUCCCUCUAAGAUCAGGAAAAAGAAAAGGAUAUCUUCUCUAACUACUUCUAUUCAACACUGUGCUAUAGGUUCUCAUCAGAGCAAUUAGGCCAGAAAUAAGAUAGCCUCCAGAUUAGAAAGGGAGAAGUAAAGCUAUCUUUAUUUGCUCAU